GGGUUGUGAGGUUAAGCGACUAAGCGUACACGGUGGAUGCCCUGGCAGUCAGAGGCGAUGAAGGACGUGCUAAUCUGCGAAAAGCGUCGGUAAGGUGAUAUGAACCGUUAUAACCGGCGAUGUCCGAAUGGGGAAACCCAGUGUGAUUCGUCACACUAUCGUUAACUGAAUACAUAGGUUAACGAGGCGAACCGGGGGAACUGAAACAUCUAAGUACCCCGAGGAAAAGAAAUCAACCGAGAUUCCCCAGUAGCGGCGAGCGAACGGGGAGCAGCCCAGAGUCUGAAUCAGCUUGUGUGUUAGUGGAACGGUCUGGAAAGUCCGACGGUACAGGGUGAUAGUCCCGUACACCAAAAUGCACAGGUUGUGAACUCGAAGAGUAGGGCGGGACACGUGGUAUCCUGUCUGAAUAUGGGGACCAUCCUCCAAGGCUAAAUACUCCUGACUGACCGAUAGUGAACCAGUACCGUGAGGGAAAGGCGAAAAGAACCCCGGCGAGGGGAGUGAAAAGAACCUGAAACCGUGUACGUACAAGCAGUGGGAGCACCUUCGGGUGUGACUGCGUACCUUUGUAUAAUGGGUCAGCGACUUAUAUUCUGUAGCAAGGUUAACCGUAUAGGGAGCCGCAGGGAAACCGAGUCUUAACUGGGCGUUAAGUUGCAGGGUAUAGACCCGAAACCCGGUGAUCUAGCCAUGGGCAGGUUGAAGGUUGGGUAACACUAACUGGAGGACCGAACCGACUAAUGUUGAAAAAUUAGCGGAUGACUUGUGGCUGGGGGUGAAAGGCCAAUCAAACCGGGAGAUAGCUGGUUCUCCCCGAAAGCUAUUUAGGUAGCGCCUCGUGAAUUCAUCUUCGGGGGUAGAGCACUGUUUCGGCUAGGGGGUCAUCCCGACUUACCAACCCGAUGCAAACUACGAAUACCGAAGAAUGUUAUCACGGGAGACACACGGCGGGUGCUAACGUCCGUCGUGAAGAGGGAAACAACCCAGACCGCCAGCUAAGGUCCCAAAGUCAUGGUUAAGUGGGAAACGAUGUGGGAAGGCACAGACAGCCAGGAUGUUGGCUUAGAAGCAGCCAUCAUUUAAAGAAAGCGUAAUAGCUCACUGGUCGAGUCGGCCUGCGCGGAAGAUGUAACGGGGCUAAACCAUGCACCGAAGCUGCGGCAGCGACACUAUGUGUUGUUGGGUAGGGGAGCGUUCUGUAAGCCUGCGAAGGUGACCUGUGAGGGUUGCUGGAGGUAUCAGAAGUGCGAAUGCUGACAUAAGUAACGAUAAAGCGGGUGAAAAGCCCGCUCGCCGGAAGACCAAGGGUUCCUGUCCAACGUUAAUCGGGGCAGGGUGAGUCGACCCUAAGGCGAGGCCGAAAGGCGUAGUCGAUGGGAAACAGGUUAAUAUUCCUGUACUUGGUGUUACUGCGAAGGGGACGGAGAAGGCUAUGUUAGCCGGGCGACGGUUGUCCCGGUUUAAGCAUGUAGGCUGGUUAUCGGCAAAUCCGGAUAAUCAAGGCUGAGGUGUGAUGACGAGGCACUACGGUGCUGAAGUAACAAAUGCCCUGCUUCCGAAAAGCCUCUAAGCAUCAGGUAACAUCAAAUCGUACCCCAAACCGACACAGGUGGUCAGGUAGAGAAUACCAAGGCGCUUGAGAGAACUCGGGUGAAGGAACUAGGCAAAAUGGUGCCGUAACUUCGGGAGAAGGCACGCUGGUGUGUAGGUGAAGUCCCUGCGGAUGGAGCUGAGACCAGUCGAAGAUACCAGCUGGCUGCAACUGUUUAUUAAAAACACAGCACUGUGCAAACACGAAAGUGGACGUAUACGGUGUGACGCCUGCCCGGUGCCGGAAGGUUAAUUGAUGGGGUUAUCCGUAAGGAGAAGCUCUUGAUCGAAGCCCGGUAAACGGCGGCCGUAACUAUAACGGUCCUAAGGUAGCGAAAUUCCUUGUCGGGUAAGUUCCGACCUGCACGAAUGGCGUAAUGAUGGCGAGGCUGUCUCCACCCGAGACUCAGUGAAAUUGAACUCGCUGUGAAGAUGCAGUGUACCCGCGGCAAGACGGAAAGACCCCGUGAACCUUUACUAUAGCUUGACACUGAACAUUGAGCCUUGAUGUGUAGGAUAGGUGGGAGGCUUUGAAGCGUGGACGCCAGUCUGCGUGGAGCCAACCUUGAAAUACCACCCUUUAAUGUUUGAUGUUCUAACGUUGGCCCCUGACCGGGGUUGCGGACAGUGUCUGGUGGGUAGUUUGACUGGGGCGGUCUCCUCCCAAAGCGUAACGGAGGAGCACGAAGGUUAGCUAAUCCUGGUCGGACAUCAGGAGGUUAGUGCAAUGGCAUAAGCUAGCUUGACUGCGAGCGUGACGGCGCGAGCAGGUGCGAAAGCAGGUCAUAGUGAUCCGGUGGUUCUGAAUGGAAGGGCCAUCGCUCAACGGAUAAAAGGUACUCCGGGGAUAACAGGCUGAUACCGCCCAAGAGUUCAUAUCGACGGCGGUGUUUGGCACCUCGAUGUCGGCUCAUCACAUCCUGGGGCUGAAGUAGGUCCCAAGGGUAUGGCUGUUCGCCAUUUAAAGUGGUACGCGAGCUGGGUUUAGAACGUCGUGAGACAGUUCGGUCCCUAUCUGCCGUGGGCGCUGGAGAAUUGAGGGGGGCUGCUCCUAGUACGAGAGGACCGGAGUGGACGCAUCACUGGUGUUCGGGUUGUCAUGCCAAUGGCACUGCCCGGUAGCUAAAUGCGGAAGAGAUAAGUGCUGAAAGCAUCUAAGCACGAAACUUGCCCCGAGAUGAGUUCUCCCUGAGACUUUAAGUCUCCUGAAGGAACGUUGAAGACGACGACGUUGAUAGGCCGGGUGUGUAAGCGCAGCGAUGCGUUGAGCUAACCGGUACUAAUGAACCGUGAGGCUUAACCUUACAACGCCGAAG
RNAcentral lists this ribosomal RNA (2909 nucleotides) under Klebsiella pneumoniae. RNAcentral's name for it is "23S ribosomal RNA". It matches the Rfam family "Bacterial large subunit ribosomal RNA". The record is from RNAcentral. Lineage: Bacteria; Pseudomonadati; Pseudomonadota; Gammaproteobacteria; Enterobacterales; Enterobacteriaceae.